RNAcentral lists this ribosomal RNA (437 nucleotides) under uncultured Clostridium sp. RNAcentral describes it as "partial 16S ribosomal RNA". It matches the Rfam family "Bacterial small subunit ribosomal RNA", at positions 341 to 792 of the family's 1533-position model. Lineage: Bacteria; Bacillati; Bacillota; Clostridia; Eubacteriales; Clostridiaceae. The record is from RNAcentral.
ACGGGAGGCAGCAGUGGGGAAUAUUGCACAAUGGGCGAAAGCCUGAUGCAGCAACGCCGCGUGAGGGAAGACGGUUUUCGGAUUGUAAACCUCUGUCUUUGGUGACGAAACAAAUGACGGUAACCAAGGAGGAAGCCACGGCUAACUACGUGCCAGCAGCCGCGGUAAUACGUAGGUGGCAAGCGUUGUCCGGAUUUACUGGGUGUAAAGGGAGCGUAGGCGGGCGAAUAAGUCAGCUGUGAAAUCCAUAGGCUUAACCUAUGAACUGCAGUUGAAACUGUUUGUCUUGAGUGAAGUAGAGGCAGGCGGAAUUCCGAGUGUAGCGGUGAAAUGCGUAGAUAUUCGGAGGAACACCAGUGGCGAAGGCGGCCUGCUGGGCUUUAACUGACGCUGAGGCUCGAAAGUGUGGGGAGCAAACAGGAUUAGAUACCCUGGUA